GGGCUUAAAGUGUGAGUAGGCGGUUUUAAGUUAAGAUCAAAAUCCAAAAGCAUAACUUUUGAAAAGGUUUUAAUACUGUAAAGCUAGAGUAUAAAUAAGGAAAGUAGUAUUUUUAGUGUAAAGGUUAAAUUUUGAAAUAUUAAAAGACUAUCAAUAGGCGAAGGCGACUUUCUGGUUUAUUCUGACGCUGAGGCACAAAAGCAUGGGGAGCAAACAGGAUUAGAUACCCUGGUAGUCCAUGCCCUGACCUAUGAAUGUUGAAACAUAAAAAUAUAAUUUUAUGUUUUAAGUUAACACGUAAAACAUUCCGCCUGGGGACUACGACCGCAAGGUUGAAACU
RNAcentral lists this ribosomal RNA (340 nucleotides) under uncultured bacterium. Its description in RNAcentral is "bacterial SSU rRNA". It matches the Rfam family "Bacterial small subunit ribosomal RNA", at positions 556 to 901 of the family's 1533-position model. The record is from RNAcentral.